GCUGGGUGCAGUGGUGUGUGCCUGUAGGCCCAGCUACUUGGGAGGCUGAGGUGGGAGGAUCGCUUGAGCCCAGGAGUUCUGGGCUGUAGUGCGCUAUGCCGAUCGGGUGUCCACACUAAGUUUGGCAUCAGUAUGGUGACCUCCCAGGAGUGGGGAACCACCAGGUUGCCUAAGGAGGGGUGAACUGGCCCAGGUCAGAAACGGAGCAGGUCAAAACUCCCGUGCUGAUCAGUAGUGGGAUCAUGCCUGUCAAUAGCCACUGUACUCCGGCCUGGGCAGCAUAGCGAGACCCCAUCUCUA
Molecule: unclassified non-coding RNA, 300 nt
Organism: Callithrix jacchus (white-tufted-ear marmoset)
Lineage: Eukaryota; Metazoa; Chordata; Mammalia; Primates; Cebidae
Rfam family: Metazoan signal recognition particle RNA
About the family: The signal recognition particle (SRP) is a universally conserved ribonucleoprotein. It is involved in the co-translational targeting of proteins to membranes.
Source: Ensembl